GGGUGCGAUCAUACCAGCACUAACGCAUCAGAUCCCAUCAGAACUUCGCAGUAAAGCGUGCUCGGGAGAGAGUAGUACUAGGAUGGGUGACCUCAUCGGAGGUCCACUUGUUACACCGC
RNAcentral lists this ribosomal RNA (119 nucleotides) under Cephalotus follicularis. Lineage: Eukaryota; Viridiplantae; Streptophyta; Magnoliopsida; Oxalidales; Cephalotaceae. The record is from RNAcentral.